This 376-nucleotide ribosomal RNA is filed under the name uncultured organism. RNAcentral's name for it is "bacterial SSU rRNA". It matches the Rfam family "Bacterial small subunit ribosomal RNA", at positions 526 to 896 of the family's 1533-position model. The record is from RNAcentral.
CGUAGGGGGCAAGCGUUGUAACCGGAUUUAUUGGGCGUAAAGAGCUCGUAGGCGGUUCGGUAAGUCGGCUGUGAAAUCUCCACGCUCAACGUGGAGGGGUUAGUCGAAACUGCCGUGACUCGAGUCCGGUAGAGGAGUGUGGAAUUCCCGGUGUAGCGGUGAAAUGCGCAGAGAUCGGGAGGAACACCCGUAGCGAAGGCGGCACUCUGGGCCGGUACUGACGCUGAGGAGCGAAAGCGUGGGGAGCAAACAGGAUUAGAUACCCUGGUAGUCCACGCCGUAAACGUUGGGCACUAGGUGUGGGACUCUAUCGACGGGUUCCGUGCCGUAGCUAACGCAUUAAGUGCCCCGCCUGGGGAGUACGGCCGCAAGGCUA